CCUACGGGAGGCAGCAGUGAGGAAUAUUGGUCAAUGGCCGAGAGGCUGAACCAGCCAAGUCGCGUGAGGGAUGACGGCCCUAUGGGUUGUAAACCUCUUUUGUCGGGGAGCAAAGCGCGUCACGUGUGACGCUUUGCGAGUACCUGAAGAAAAAGCAUCGGCUAACUCCGUGCCAGCAGCCGCGGUAAUACGGAGGAUGCGAGCGUUAUCCGGAUUUAUUGGGUUUAAAGGGAGCGUAGGCGGAUGGUCAAGUCUGGGGUGAAAGGUUGGGGCCCAACCCCCGGACUGCUGUGGAAACUGGAUGGCUGGAGUGCAGGAGAGGUAAGCGGAAUUCGUGGUGUAGCGGUGAAAUGCGUAGAUAUUACGAAGAACACCAAUUGCGAAGGCAGCUUACUGGACUGUAACUGACGCUGAGGCUCGAAAGCGUGGGUAGCAAACAGGAUUAGAUACCCGAGUAGUC
RNAcentral lists this ribosomal RNA (460 nucleotides) under uncultured bacterium. Its description in RNAcentral is "partial 16S ribosomal RNA". It matches the Rfam family "Bacterial small subunit ribosomal RNA", at positions 338 to 795 of the family's 1533-position model. The record is from RNAcentral.